GAUGAACGCUGGCGGCGUGCCUAAUACAUGCAAGUCGAGCGAACAGACGAGGAGCUUGCUCCUCUGACGUUAGCGGCGGACGGGGGAGUAACACGUGGAUAACCUACCUAUAAGACUGGGAUAACUUCGGGAAACCGGAGCUAAUACCGGAUAAUAUAUUGAACCGCAUGGUUCAAUAGUGAAAGACGGUUUUGCUGUCACUUAUAGAUGGAUCCGCGCCGCAUUAGCUAGUUGGUAAGGUAACGGCUUACCAAGGCAACGAUGCGUAGCCGACCUGAGAGGGUGAUCGGCCACACUGGAACUGAGACACGGUCCAGACUCCUACGGGAGGCAGCAGUAGGGAAUCUUCCGCAAUGGGCGAAAGCUUGACGGAGCAACGCCGCGUGAGUGAUGAAGGUCUUCGGAUCGUAAAACUCUUUUAUUAGGGAAGAACAAAUGUGUAAGUAACUAUGCACGUCUUGACGGUACCUAAUCAGAAAGCCACGGCUAACUACGUG
Molecule: ribosomal RNA, 497 nt
Filed under: uncultured bacterium
Lineage: Bacteria
Description: partial 16S ribosomal RNA
Rfam family: Bacterial small subunit ribosomal RNA
Source: RNAcentral